GUUUCCGUAGUGUAGUGGUUAUCACGUUCGCUUCAGACGCGAAAAGUCCCUGGUUCGAAACCGGGCGGACUGUAACA
Piliocolobus tephrosceles (Ugandan red Colobus) is the source of this 77-nucleotide non-coding RNA. The record is from the annotation of a RefSeq genome assembly. Lineage: Eukaryota; Metazoa; Chordata; Mammalia; Primates; Cercopithecidae.